RNAcentral lists this ribosomal RNA (505 nucleotides) under uncultured bacterium. RNAcentral's name for it is "partial 16S ribosomal RNA". It matches the Rfam family "Bacterial small subunit ribosomal RNA", at positions 28 to 507 of the family's 1533-position model. The record is from RNAcentral.
GACGAACGCUGGCGGCGUGCCUAAUACAUGCAAGUAGAACGCACAGUUUAUACCGUAGCUUGCUACACCAUAGACUGUGAGUUGCGAACGGGUGAGUAACGCGUAGGUAACCUGCCUGGUAGCGGGGGAUAACUAUUGGAAACGAUAGCUAAUACCGCAUAAUAUUAAUUAUUGCAUGAUAAUUAAUUGAAAGGUGCAAUUGCACCACUACCAGAUGGACCUGCGUUGUAUUAGCUAGUAGGUGAGGUAACGGCUCACCUAGGCGACGAUACAUAGCCGACCUGGGAGGGUGAUCGGCCACACUGGGACUGAGACACGGCCCAGACUCCUACGGGAGGCAGCAGUAGGGAAUCUUCGGCAAUGGACGAAAGUCUGACCGAGCAACGCCGCGUGGGUGAAGAAGGUUUUCGGAUCGUAAAGCUCUGUUGUAAGAGAAGAACGGGUGUGAGAGUGGAAAGUUCACACUGUGACGGUAUCUUACCAGAAAGGGACGGCUAACUACGUG